RNAcentral lists this ribosomal RNA (434 nucleotides) under uncultured Lachnospiraceae bacterium. RNAcentral's name for it is "partial 16S ribosomal RNA". It matches the Rfam family "Bacterial small subunit ribosomal RNA", at positions 341 to 792 of the family's 1533-position model. Lineage: Bacteria; Bacillati; Bacillota; Clostridia; Lachnospirales; Lachnospiraceae. The record is from RNAcentral.
ACGGGAGGCAGCAGUGGGGAAUAUUGGACAAUGGGGGAAACCCUGAUCCAGCGACGCCGCGUGAGUGAAGAAGUAUUUCGGUAUGUAAAGCUCUAUCAGCAAGGAAGAAAAUGACGGUACUUGACUAAGAAGCCCCGGCUAACUACGUGCCAGCAGCCGCGGUAAUACGUAGGGGGCAAGCGUUAUCCGGAUUUACUGGGUGUAAAGGGAGCGUAGACGGCAUAGCAAGUCUGAAGUGAAAUGCAUGGGCUCAACCCAUGAACUGCUUUGGAAACUGUUAAGCUAGAGUGCAGGAGAGGUAAGUGGAAUUCCUAGUGUAGCGGUGAAAUGCGUAGAUAUUAGGAGGAACACCAGUGGCGAAGGCGGCUUACUGGACUGUAACUGACGUUGAGGCUCGAAAGCGUGGGGAGCAUACAGGAUUAGAUACCCUGGUA